UGGGGAAUUUUGCACAAUGGGGGAAACCCUGAUGCAGCGACGCCGCGUGAUUUAGAAGGCCUUCGGGUUGUAAAAAUCUUUUCUAUGGGAAGAAAAUGACAGUACCAUAGGAUUAAGGACCGGCUAAUUACGUGCCAGCAGCCGCGGUAAUACGUAAGGUCCGGGCGUUGUCCGGAAUCAUUGGGCGUAAAGGGUACGUAGGCGGGUAAGCAAGUUAGAAGUGAAAUCCUAUAGCUCAACUAUAGUAAGCUUUUAAAACUGCUCAGCUUGAGGUAUGGAAGGGAGAGUGGAAUUCCUAGUGUAGCGGUGAAGUGCGCAGAUAUGAGGAGGAGUACCGGUGGAGAAGGCGACGUUCUGGCCAGAACCUGACGCUGAGGUACGAAAGCGUGGGGAGCAAACAGG
This 402-nucleotide ribosomal RNA is filed under the name bacterium. RNAcentral describes it as "partial 16S ribosomal RNA". It matches the Rfam family "Bacterial small subunit ribosomal RNA", at positions 355 to 776 of the family's 1533-position model. The record is from RNAcentral.